UGGGGAAUUUUCCGCAAUGGGCGAAAGCCUGACGGAGCAAUACCGCGUGAGGGAGGAAGGCUCUUGGGUCGUAAACCUCUUUUCUCAAGGAAGAACAAAAUGACGGUACUUGAGGAAUCAGCAUCGGCUAACUCCGUGCCAGCAGCCGCGGUAAUACGGAGGAUGCAAGCGUUAUCCGGAAUGAUUGGGCGUAAAGCGUCCGCAGGUGGCAUUGCAAGUCUGCUGUCAAAGCACGAGGCUUAACCUUGGGAAGGCAGUGGAAACUGGAAAGCUAGAGAGCAAUAGGGGUAGAGGGAAUUCCCGGUGUAGCGGUGAAAUGCGUAGAGAUCGGGAAGAACACCAGUGGCGAAAGCGCUCUACUAGGUUGACUCUGACACUGAGGGACGAAAGCUAGGGGAGC
Molecule: ribosomal RNA, 400 nt
Filed under: uncultured bacterium
Lineage: Bacteria
Description: bacterial SSU rRNA
Rfam family: Bacterial small subunit ribosomal RNA
Source: RNAcentral